RNAcentral lists this ribosomal RNA (497 nucleotides) under uncultured bacterium. RNAcentral describes it as "partial 16S ribosomal RNA". It matches the Rfam family "Bacterial small subunit ribosomal RNA", at positions 28 to 507 of the family's 1533-position model. The record is from RNAcentral.
GACGAACGCUGGCGGCGUGCCUAAUACAUGCAAGUAGAACGCUGAAGGAAGGAGCUUGCUCUUUCCGGAUGAGUUGCGAACGGGUGAGUAACACGUAGGUAACCUGCCUGGUAGCGGGGGAUAACUAUUGGAAACGAUAGCUAAUACCGCAUAACAGUAGAUGUUGCAUGAUAUCUACUUAAAAGGUGCAAUUGCACCACUACCAGAUGGACCUGCGUUGUAUUAGCUAGUUGGUGAGGUAACGGCUCACCAAGGCGACGAUACAUAGCCGACCUGAGAGGGUGAUCGGCCACACUGGGACUGAGACACGGCCCAGACUCCUACGGGAGGCAGCAGUAGGGAAUCUUCGGCAAUGGACGGAAGUCUGACCGAGCAACGCCGCGUGAGUGAAGAAGGUUUUCGGAUCGUAAAGCUCUGUUGUAAGAGAAGAACGAGUGUGAGAGUGGAAAGUUCACACUGUGACGGUAUCUUACCAGAAAGGGACGGCUAACUACGUG